RNAcentral lists this ribosomal RNA (464 nucleotides) under uncultured Klebsiella sp. Its description in RNAcentral is "bacterial SSU rRNA". It matches the Rfam family "Bacterial small subunit ribosomal RNA", at positions 339 to 795 of the family's 1533-position model. The record is from RNAcentral. Lineage: Bacteria; Pseudomonadati; Pseudomonadota; Gammaproteobacteria; Enterobacterales; Enterobacteriaceae.
CUACGGGUGGCUGCAGUGGGGAAUAUUGCACAAUGGGCGCAAGCCUGAUGCAGCCAUGCCGCGUGUGUGAAGAAGGCCUUCGGGUUGUAAAGCACUUUCAGCGGGGAGGAAGGCGGUGAGGUUAAUAACCUCAUCGAUUGACGUUACCCGCAGAAGAAGCACCGGCUAACUCCGUGCCAGCAGCCGCGGUAGUACGGAGGGUGCAAGCGUUAAUCGGAAUUACUGGGCGUAAAGCGCACGCAGGCGGUCUGUCAAGUCGGAUGUGAAAUCCCCGGGCUCAACCUGGGAACUGCAUUCGAAACUGGCAGGCUAGAGUCUUGUAGAGGGGGGUAGAAUUCCAGGUGUAGCGGUGAAAUGCGUAGAGAUCUGGAGGAAUACCGGUGGCGAAGGCGGCCCCCUGGACAAAGACUGACGCUCAGGUGCGAAAGCGUGGGGAGCAAACAGGAUUAGAUACCCCGGUAGUC